RNAcentral lists this ribosomal RNA (500 nucleotides) under uncultured bacterium. RNAcentral's name for it is "partial 16S ribosomal RNA". It matches the Rfam family "Bacterial small subunit ribosomal RNA", at positions 28 to 507 of the family's 1533-position model. The record is from RNAcentral.
GACGAACGCUGGCGGCGUGCCUAAUACAUGCAAGUCGAGCGGACUGAUUAAGAGCUUGCUCUUAUGACGUUAGCCGCGGACGGGUGAGUAACACGUGGGCCACCCUCCCCGUUGAUCGGGAUAAUAACGAGAAAUCGGUGCUAAUAACGGGUAAUAUCUGAGGUCACAUGAUCUUUGGUUAAAAGAUGGCUCCGGCUAUCACUACAGGAUGGGCCCGCGGCGCAUUAGCUAGUUGGUAAGGUAAUGGCUUACCAAGGCGACGAUGCGUAGCCGACCUGAGAGGGUGAUCGGCCACACUGGGACUGAGACACGGCCCAGACUCCUACGGGAGGCAGCAGUAGGGAAUCUUCCGCAAUGGACGAAAGUCUGACGGAGCAACGCCGCGUGAGUGAUGAAGGGUUUCGGCUCGUAAAGCUCUGUUGUUAGGGAAGAAACAGUACCGAACGAACUAGGUCGGUACCUUGACGGUACCUAACCAGAAAGCCACGGCUAACUACGUG